Long non-coding RNA from Dalotia coriaria, 1597 nucleotides. RefSeq lists it as uncharacterized. The transcript is spliced from 3 exons. NCBI's taxonomy places the organism in Eukaryota, Metazoa, Arthropoda, Insecta, Coleoptera, Staphylinidae. The record is from RefSeq and is a predicted model, not a curated record.
UGCUUCGAUGUGUCCAUUGCUCCCGGCCCAACCUACAGCUACGAAGUCUCUGCGCUUCAUCCCCGAAAUACUCAGGCAUAUCAACAAUUUUAAUGGUGGGGGAUCACCCCCAGAGAGAGGGAACUCCUUAUAAGGACAAUCCUUACAAGAUCUUGUAAAAAUAGUUCUAAGUUUUAAAUCGCCUCAAGAGAGGGGACACUUAAAAAUUUUCUUACAAGUUCUGACCUGUAGCUGAAAUGAAAGAAGGAGCAUACAAAUCACACAGGAUACCUUAACAAUUUUUAUAGUGGGGAUCAUCUCCUGAGAGAGGGAACUCUCUUAGAGACUUGGGCCUGUAAUGAUAGAAGGGGUACACAAAUCAAAGAAGUCAAUAUAUCUUACUAUUUAUUUAUUGACAAUAGAAUACAAGUUUAUAUUUUACAAGUCAACAGAAUUUAUGUCGCCAUAUUGAAACAGGACUCUAACGGGCUAAAGAAAUUAUCAAAUAGCUCAUUUUCUAGACGAUUGAAAAUGGAAACAAAUAUACAGGGUGUUACAAAUGAUAAAUUUAAUGUGAAAACAUAAAAACAUUUUUACACUACAAAUAUGAUUCGUUCUUCACCCGAGGCUCCUGGAAAACUAAUAUACAGGGUGUUCCAGAAAGAAAAUUCAAAGUGCAAAGGGGAAAAUACUAAAAACAUCAGCUAAAGCAAAAUUUUCAAGGACACAAAGGAAAACAUAUAUACAGGGUGAUCUAGAAAGAAAAUUCCAUUUUCAAAACGGAGAACACUCAAAACUCAUAACUAAAGGUGAUUUUCUACGUACGUGCUGUUAGUAAAACUAACAGGGUAUUACAGAAAAAAAUCAGAAACUACAAAAGGAGUCAAUAAUCACAAUAUGACACAAUAAGAGGAAAAUUUACAAAUCAACAACAAUAUUUUAAUAUAAAAUCAGAAAAACCGAAACCCGAAAAACAUCAGAAAAUUGAGCAAUAGGGUGCUACAAAAAUAAAACACUUACAUUUUAAUAUUAUAUUAAACUUGGAAAAACAAUCGUUGGAAAACAAGUUGAAAACUAACGACAUACUCAACAAAAAAUCUGAAACAAAAUUUUUGGAACUUGAGCACAGCCUGCAUGAAGUACAAUUAUCUCGAAGCGCUUGUCGGAAGCAGCUUCACAAGGCAAUGAAUUUCGCCAAGGAUCUGGUCAAUGAACAAGAGACGCUUCUGAAAGCACUCAAUCAGCGGCACAUGGAAAACAAAGCUGUGAAACGUUUCGGCACCGAUAUUGCUAGCCGGAUGGAUGUACUGCGCAAUCAAUUGAAGGCAGUUCAGAAAGACGCCUGGCAAGAAUUGUCGACAGUGGAAGAGCGCAUACAAGAACAGGAUUCGAUUAUUUUGUCGAUGAAAGAAGAACACGAACAGGAAAUCGAAAAACUUAAAAAUCUAAUUAAAGAAAAAGGAUGAAUAUAAAAUUACUAAUCUAUACUCCCACCAUCGCAAUCACUUCCAAGGGCUUCAUUAAAUUCAUAAAAUAGGUUUAUUUAAUUUUUACUGUUUCUCUGUUAUGUACAAAAAUAUCAUUCGAAUAUUAAAUAAAAUAUGAAUUUAAAUAAGGA